RNAcentral lists this ribosomal RNA (433 nucleotides) under uncultured bacterium. RNAcentral describes it as "partial 16S ribosomal RNA". It matches the Rfam family "Bacterial small subunit ribosomal RNA", at positions 29 to 507 of the family's 1533-position model. The record is from RNAcentral.
AACGAACGCUGGCGGCAUGCCUAACACAUGCAAGUCGAACGAGACCUUCGGGCUUAGUGGCGCACCGCUGCGUAACGCGUGGGAACCUGCCUUUAGGUUCGCAAUAACUCAGAGAAAUUUGACCUAAUACCGGAGGAUGUCUUCGCACCAAAGAUUUAUGGCCGUUAGAUGGGCGCGCGUUGGAUUAGCUGGUUGGUGGGGUACAGGCCUAGCAAGGCGAGGAUCCAUAGCUGGUCGGGGAGGAUGAUCUGCCACGCUGGGGCUGAGACACGGACCAGACUGCUACGGAAGGCAGCAGAGGGGAAUAUAGGACGAUGGAGGAAGGCGUGAUCCAGCAAUGCCGCGUAAGUGAUGAAGGCCGUAGGGUUGUAAAGCUCUUUUACACGAGAUGAUAAUGACGGUAUCGGGAGAAUAAGCACCGGCUAACUCCGUG